UGGCGAAUAGCAAUUCAAUUAGGCAUAGGCUUCGAUGGCCUGAAACAGGGUCCGACGCCAUAAAUCAAAGCAAGACUCCAUCUCUGCAGAUGCGCCUCUAUUGCAUUUCAAAUCUCCAGCGAAGAUCAUGAAUAUCGUGUUCUUAAACACACUCACCAAAUCCCUACAACAAGACAAAGUUACGCAUCCAUUCAAGGCUUGAAGCUCCCAUCAUUAUCUCUGCAACCUUGUUCAUCUCAGUCUUCCGAAUCCUCUUCGGAAAUUUUGAAAACGUGACGUUGAUUUGCAUUGCCAUGGUGACUCGAGGAAGAGGCAGAGACAUCACAAGUCGUUCUACACGGAUGAAUGGAAAGGAUGGCGACAGAGAACUUACUGAGUUGGAUCUCUAACGCGGUGAUCUUCCGAAGCCGAUGUCGAUGAACAAUACUAUGAGUUUAGCGCUCUUCAUGUAUGUGAUUCUUAGUGCUUGCUAUGUAUCUUCCUUCCUCCACUCCCUUCUCUCUGUUUUAUAUGGUUUACUCGAUGAUCUUGAGAAUGAGAUGAAUGAAGUUGAAUGCGUGUGAGCUUGAGGAAGAAGAUGCAAGUUGAAAGGGAUUUGAUCUGAGAGAGUGUAAGCUAGGAUCUGAGAAGAAGUCAAAAAUUGACUCAAGCCAAUGAUGCAGGGGUCCUUUUAUACUCUAUACCGAUUAUGUUAUGCCUUUCUCUUUCUGUUAUCAUACUUUGUUCAAUUCUGUUACAACUUGUGAAUCAAUUAGGAAACAGUUAAGGUAAUUAGUUGUGAAUUCAUUGACAACUGUGAAUUAUUGUAUUUUAGCUUGAAUACCAAUUAGUGCCAAGUUCUAUGAUUGAAAUUGGAGAGAAAAGCAGAUGAUGCUCAGUUCUGCUAAUCUAUUCGAUGCAGUAAAGUGUUCAAUUGUGCAGUUAGCUUUAUGGUUAGAAAAUAUCUGCUGAAUGUUGUGUAUGUGUCUGCAAGUUUAGCUGCAAUUUAAGGAGUUGCUUUUGGUGGCUGAUGUUAGCUGCAUUACAGGAUUUUUAUGGUGGUCUUGCUCAUUAUGACCUUGGCUUGAAUAGCAUGGCCAUAUAUGCAUUGUAGGUGUGCCUAUAUAUUCCACUUGGACUGUUUGAAUGCAUUUGGUUCUUUUGGGAUGGUUAUGCACAUGAAGAAUGGCGGUUGAACAAUGCAACAAGAUUGAAACUAGAAACAACAUGUGUAAUUAGUUAAUCAAGAAUCAACAUGGGCCCUGGAAGAUUAGGGAUGGAAUUGGGAUGGAGUUGACUUAGGUCAAAGUUGACCAAAAAGUCAACUAUUGACCAAAGUCAACAUUUGGUCAAAGUUCAAAAUUUGAAAUUUUCUCAUGUAAUGGAUAUCUUAUUUGUAAUAAUGAAAUUUGAUGCAUAUGAAUGAAAUUGACACUUGUUUAUGAAUAAA
Molecule: long non-coding RNA, 1429 nt
Organism: Lathyrus oleraceus (garden pea)
Lineage: Eukaryota; Viridiplantae; Streptophyta; Magnoliopsida; Fabales; Fabaceae
Exons: 3
Source: RefSeq, a predicted model, not a curated record